CUAGUAACGGCGAGUGAAGCGGCAACAGCUCAAAUUUGAAAUCUGGCUUCGGCCCGAGUUGUAAUUUGCAGAGGAAGCUUUAGGCGCGGCACCAUCUGAGUCCCCUGGAACGGGGCGCCAUAGAGGGUGAGAGCCCCGUAUAGAUGGACGCUAAGCCUGUGUAAAGCUCCUUCGACGAGUCGAGUAGUUUGGGAAUGCUGCUCAAAAUGGGAGGUAAAUUUCUUCUAAAGCUAAAUACCGGCCAGAGACCGAUAGCGCACAAGUAGAGUGAUCGAAAGAUGAAAAGCACUUUGAAAAGAGGGUUAAAUAGCACGUGAAAUUGUUGAAAGGGAAGCGCUUGUGACCAGACUUGCGCCGGGCUGAUCAUCCGGUGUUCUCACCGGUGCACUCUGCCCGGCUCAGGCCAGCAUCGGUUCUCGCGGGGGGAUAAAGGCCCUGGGAACGUAGCUCCUCCGGGAGUGUUAUAGCCCAGGGUGUAAUGCCCUCGCGGGGACCGAGGUUCGCGCAUCUGCAAGGAUGCUGGCGUAAUGGUCAUCAGCGACCCGUCUUGAAACACGGACCAAGGAGUCAAGGUUUUGCGCGAGUGUUUGGGUGUAAAACCCGCACGCGUAAUGAAAGUGAACGUAGGUGAGAGCUUCGGCGCAUCAUCGACCGAUCCUGAUGUUUUCGGAUGGAUUUGAGUACGAGCGUUAAGCCUUGGACCCGAAAGAUGGUGAACUAUGCUUGGAUAGGGUGAAGCCACAGGAAACUCUGGGGGAGGAUCCCAGCGUUUCUGA
Molecule: ribosomal RNA, 776 nt
Filed under: Chaetomiaceae sp.
Lineage: Eukaryota; Fungi; Ascomycota; Sordariomycetes; Sordariales; Chaetomiaceae
Description: partial large subunit ribosomal RNA
Rfam family: Eukaryotic large subunit ribosomal RNA
Source: RNAcentral